RNAcentral lists this ribosomal RNA (305 nucleotides) under uncultured bacterium. Its description in RNAcentral is "bacterial SSU rRNA". It matches the Rfam family "Bacterial small subunit ribosomal RNA", at positions 337 to 634 of the family's 1533-position model. The record is from RNAcentral.
ACCUACGGGGCGCAGCAGUAGGGAAUCUUCCACAAUGGGCGAAAGCCUGAUGGAGCAACGCCGCGUGGGUGAGGAAGGUCUUCGGAUCGUAAAACCCUGUUGUUAGAGAAGAAAGUGCGUGAGAGUAACUGUUCACGUUUCGACGGUAUCUAACCAGAAAGCCACGGCUAACUACGUGCCAGCAGCCGCGGUAAUACGUAGGUGGCAAGCGUUAUCCGGAUUUAUUGGGCGUAAAGAGAACGCAGGCAGUCUUUUAAGUCUGAUGUGAAAGCCUUCGGCUUAACCGGAGUAGUGCAUUGGAAACU